GAAGACUUUAAGAAAGGCAGGUCUGAGGCAGAAAGAAAGUCAGCACUAGUGUUGCAAGAAGACUACAAGCAGGCUGGGGGAGAGGAGCUUAUCUCUCUCCAUUGCUACAGAGACUUGACUAGAAGGAGACCCAUCUGUCAGGUGUUUGAUGGUCAUCAGAAGAUGACCCCAGAG
Molecule: long non-coding RNA, 174 nt
Organism: Dromiciops gliroides (monito del monte)
Lineage: Eukaryota; Metazoa; Chordata; Mammalia; Microbiotheria; Microbiotheriidae
Exons: 3
Source: RefSeq, a predicted model, not a curated record